AUUUAAUUUAAUUAGAAAAACGAAAUACAUUAUUAAUUUCCAAAAGAGUAACCUAUUAAAAUCAACAAAUUAGAUUUGAUAUCUAAAUUAUCAUAUUAAUUUUUU
RNAcentral lists this small RNA (105 nucleotides) under Arabidopsis thaliana (thale cress). RNAcentral describes it as "ATSL078680". The record is from RNAcentral. Lineage: Eukaryota; Viridiplantae; Streptophyta; Magnoliopsida; Brassicales; Brassicaceae.